GACGAACGCUGGCGGCGUGCUUAACACAUGCAAGUCGAACGGAAAGGCCCUGCUUUUGUUGGGUGCUCGAGUGGCGAACGGGUGAGUAACACGUGAGUAACCUGCCCUUGACUUUGGGAUAACUUCAGGAAACUGGGGCUAAUACCGGAUAUGAGCUCUUGCUGCAUGGUGUGGGUUGGAAAGUUUCGGCGGUUGUGGAUGGACUCGCGGCUUAUCAGCUUGUUGGUGGGGUAGUGGCUUACAAAGGCUUUGACGGGUAGCCGGCCUGAGAGGGGGACCGGCCACAUUGGGACUGAGAGACGGCCCAGACUCCUACGGGAGGCAGCAGUGGGGAAUAUUGCACAAUGGGCGGAAGCCUGAUGCAGCAACGCCGCGUGCGGGAUGACGGCCUUCGGGUUGUAAACCGCUUUCGCCUGUGACGAAGCGUGAGUGACGGUAAUGGGUAAAGAAGCACCGGCUAACUACGUG
Molecule: ribosomal RNA, 468 nt
Filed under: uncultured bacterium
Lineage: Bacteria
Description: partial 16S ribosomal RNA
Rfam family: Bacterial small subunit ribosomal RNA
Source: RNAcentral